AUUUUGGUUAAUUUUUUACAUUUUUUUCUCAUUGAACCUGGAAUUUGUGGUUUUAUUCUAAGUUAAAUGGUUGACCGCAACACCUUUAUUUUAGAUUAGUUGGAGAAACUUGCAAUAAGAUUGGCGUAGUUUCAAUAUCUGUGUGUCUUCUCAUGAGUGUUACUUGUGAAGAAUUGAUUUUAUGUAACCUUUAUGUGAGAUAAUUAUUUGUAAAUAUUUGCCAUAAUUUUAUUGGUUCCUAAAAUAAAAGUAAUUUUUUAAGUUC
This 265-nucleotide long non-coding RNA is filed under the name Bos taurus (domestic cattle). RNAcentral's name for it is "long non-coding RNA NONBTAT024520". Lineage: Eukaryota; Metazoa; Chordata; Mammalia; Artiodactyla; Bovidae. The record is from RNAcentral.